CCUACGGGAGGCAGCAGUGGGGAAUAUUGGACAAUGGACGAGAGUCUGAACCAGCCAAGUAGCGUGAAGGAUGACUGCCCUAUGGGUUGUAAACUUCUUUUAUCUGGGAAUAAAAUGUUCCACGUGUGGGAUUUUGUAUGUACCAUAUGAAUAAGGAUCGGCUAACUCCGUGCCAGCAGCCGCGGUAAUACGGAGGAUCCGAGCGUUAUCCGGAUUUAUUGGGUUUAAAGGGAGCGUAGGUGGAUUGUUAAGUCAGUUGUGAAAGUUUGCGGCUCAACCGUAAAAUUGCAGUUGAAACUGGCAGUCUUGAGUACAGUAGAGGUGGGCGGAAUUCGUGGUGUAGCGGUGAAAUGCUUAGAUAUCACGAAGAACUCCGAUUGCGAAGGCAGUUCACUGGACUGCAACUGACACUGAGGCUCGAAAGUGUGGGUAUCAAACAGGAUUAGAUACCCUUGUAGUC
RNAcentral lists this ribosomal RNA (460 nucleotides) under uncultured bacterium. RNAcentral's name for it is "partial 16S ribosomal RNA". It matches the Rfam family "Bacterial small subunit ribosomal RNA", at positions 338 to 795 of the family's 1533-position model. The record is from RNAcentral.